UUUUUCGUGUAUAUGCAACGACUUUUGAACGUGUACAGGGCUGGUUUGUGUGUGUGCAAGCGCAGUCGCGGAGGGAACGGAGCAGUAGCCCCAGCCGCUGCAGAGAGCCGACAGCCAGGAUUGAAACGGUAAAUGUGAGACGUUGGCAGCACACAUGCCUGCUGCGCAUGCGGCUGCAUCUUCUGAACAAAACAAGGAGCUGUCAUUUCAGGCAAAGCGUGCAACCCUCCUCCUCCCCUUCCACCUCCAGUCAUCGCCACCCGCGGCACCCUGGGUCUUCCUCCGGCAGACCGCUACUUCGACUCCUUCGGUCUGGUCUUCGGGCUCCUUCACCACCACCAGUGUCUAGACUCCAUCGGGGGGGAUAUGUCCUGUUUUUCUACCCCUUUAACAAA
This is a long non-coding RNA of Perca flavescens (yellow perch), 395 nucleotides long. RefSeq lists it as uncharacterized. NCBI's taxonomy places the organism in Eukaryota, Metazoa, Chordata, Actinopteri, Perciformes, Percidae. The record is from RefSeq and is a predicted model, not a curated record. The transcript has 3 exons.